Long non-coding RNA from Oxyura jamaicensis (ruddy duck), 555 nucleotides. RefSeq lists it as uncharacterized. The transcript has 2 exons. NCBI's taxonomy places the organism in Eukaryota, Metazoa, Chordata, Aves, Anseriformes, Anatidae. The record is from RefSeq and is a predicted model, not a curated record.
GGGCUCUUUCCGAGGCAAGAAGGGAUCAGAGGAAAGGGAGGCGGUGGUGGGAACCAAGUCUGGUCAGUCACGCUGAUUUAGGAACAUGUGAGAAUGUGGGAAUGUUUAUUCCAGCCGGGCUGUCUGAUGGAGGACUUCUAAGCCGGGAGGCAAUGACCAGAAACAGACCUCCCAGCCACACUAAUUGGUGGGCUAACGAGCUACAGGCACCACUUCCAGGAAGGAUGAACCUUGCAGCUGGUGGGGGACAUGAAGCAGAGAGAGAUGCAGGUCCGGAGCCAGAGCCUGUCCGUGUGUCCCUCUUGUCCAGCUGGGUGUGAACACAGCAAUCCCUCUUGCUCCUCAUGGCACUCACGUGUGCCCUUGCAAUCCAGUGUAGGGCUGGUUCCCACUGGCUCCCACCACCCCAGGUGCAGGUGCCCCACAUGGGGCUGCAGGAGCUGGGAGGCACGUUAUUCCCCUCCCUGCACUUGUAGGGAGAUCUCCUACAGCGGCUGUGGAGAACCAAUAGGAAGACCUUGAUAAUAAAUGCUGCGAACCGCAGGACUGAAGUUA